This is a non-coding RNA of Drosophila melanogaster (fruit fly), 266 nucleotides long. The record is from Ensembl. Lineage: Eukaryota; Metazoa; Arthropoda; Insecta; Diptera; Drosophilidae.
UAAAAUAAAUUUCAUUUAAAUUAAAAUAAAUAAAACUCGUCCCCAAGCCGGCGCGUCUGCCCAAAAACAAGAACUUAGACAAAGCGCAGACACAUCCAUAAUAGUCGGAUACCAACCAGUACGCAACACCAAAACUUCCAAUUCCCCAGAAUGGCACGGCUGCAGAUGAAACUGUCUGGACAUCGAAGAAAAAGCAUUCAUUAGGCCGAAUGCAGUCUAUGCAUUUUAAUUGAUUGCCAGCCGUCUUUGUCGGCUUUAUUUUUGGC